This 224-nucleotide ribosomal RNA is filed under the name uncultured bacterium. RNAcentral's name for it is "partial 16S ribosomal RNA". It matches the Rfam family "Bacterial small subunit ribosomal RNA", at positions 118 to 340 of the family's 1533-position model. The record is from RNAcentral.
UGAGGAACAUGACCCUCGGCGGGGGAUAGCCGGCCCAACAGCCGGGUAAUACCGCGUACGACCACAUGGGGACAUCCCUGAGUGGUGAAAGCAGCAAUGCGCCGAUGGAGUGCCUCGCGGCCUAUCAGCUUGCUGGUGAGGUAACGGCUCACCAAGGCGACGACGGGUAGCUGGUCUGAGAGGAUGGCCAGCCACAUUGGGACUGAGACACGGCCCAGACUCCG